GCCGAGUUAGCACAGUUGGUAGUGCAACUGAUUUGUAAUCAGUAGGUCGCCAGUUCGAGUCCGGCACUCGGCACCA
RNAcentral lists this transfer RNA (76 nucleotides) under Gammaproteobacteria bacterium. RNAcentral describes it as "tRNA-Thr". It matches the Rfam family "tRNA". From Rfam's summary of the family: Transfer RNA (tRNA) molecules are approximately 80 nucleotides in length. Their secondary structure includes four short double-helical elements and three loops (D, anti-codon, and T loops). Lineage: Bacteria; Pseudomonadati; Pseudomonadota; Gammaproteobacteria. The record is from RNAcentral. RNAcentral also lists the same sequence under 2 other names.